This 141-nucleotide ribosomal RNA is filed under the name uncultured bacterium. RNAcentral describes it as "partial 16S ribosomal RNA". It matches the Rfam family "Bacterial small subunit ribosomal RNA", at positions 342 to 500 of the family's 1533-position model. The record is from RNAcentral.
CGGGAGGCAGCAGUGGGGAAUAUUGCACAAUGGGGAAACCCUGAUGCAGCAACGCCGCGUGGAGGAUGACACAUUUCGGUGCGUAAACUCCUUUUAUAUGGGAAGAUAAUGACGGUACCAUAUGAAUAAGCACCCGGCUAA